AGUGAACGCUGGCGGUAGGCCUAACACAUGCCAGUCGAACGGCAGCACAGUAAGAGCUUGCUCUUACGGGUGGCGAGUGGUGGACGGGUGAGGAAUACAUCGGAAUCUACUUUUUCGUGGGGGAUAACGUAGGGAAACUUACGCUAAUACCGCAUACGACCUACGGGUGAAAGCAGGGGAUCUUCGGACCUUGCGCGAUUGAAUGAGCCGAUGUCGGACUAGCUAGUUGGCGGGGUAAAGGCCCACCAAGGCGACGAUCCGUAGCUGGUCUGAGAGGAUGAUCAGCCACACUGGAACUGAGACACGGUCCAGACUCCUACGGGAGGCAGCAGUGGGGAAUAUUGGACAAUGGGCGCAAGCCUGAUCCAGCCAUACCGCGUGGGUGAAGAAGGCCUUCGGGUUGUAAAGCCCUUUUGUUGGGAAAGAAAAGCAGCAGGUUAAUACCCCGCUGUUCUGACGGUACCCAAAGAAUAAGCACCGGCUAACUUCGUG
RNAcentral lists this ribosomal RNA (492 nucleotides) under uncultured bacterium. RNAcentral's name for it is "partial 16S ribosomal RNA". It matches the Rfam family "Bacterial small subunit ribosomal RNA", at positions 29 to 507 of the family's 1533-position model. The record is from RNAcentral.